Molecule: long non-coding RNA, 1240 nt
Filed under: Triticum aestivum (bread wheat)
Lineage: Eukaryota; Viridiplantae; Streptophyta; Magnoliopsida; Poales; Poaceae
Description: long non-coding RNA (TAES_LNC019055)
Source: RNAcentral
CAGAGGACCGACCUAGAAGAUCCACAGUCCUGAUUCAAUAUAAUGUCUUUGGAAGAGGUGACGGAUCUCAAACUGAAUUUGCUAGAGGCAAUUACAAACCAAUUUUCCGAGAAGCUCAGAAUCGGAAGUGGUGGCUAUGGAGAAGUUUACAGGGUAUGCUUAUGAGCUUUCUGUCGAUUCCGAGUGGCCACCUACUACUGGCUACUGCUAACAAUGCAUGCAUGUUCGGUAUUACUUUAUAGGGAUUGCUCAAUGGGUGUGAAAUUGCUGUGAAGAAGCUUUAUCUCAACAAUGCAUCACUCGAUGAUAAGAGUUUUACAAAUGAAUUUCGUCAACUUAUGAAGGUCCAGCAUGAAAACAUUAUACGGCUGAUUGGCUACUGCUAUGAGAUAAAACAUAAGCAUACUGAUUACGGGGGGCAACUUGUCUUCUCUCAAGUUAUAGACCGAGCUCUCUGUUUUGAAUACAUGCCGGAAGGAAGUCUUGCCAAGCAUAUUUCUGGUAUGAUGGCGGUCUAUCCUCAGUUCAGCUAUACUACUUGUCUUUGAUGAAUACGUACAUAAUAUUUUCCUUCUGGGCAGAUGAUUCUUGUAUACAUGAUUGGGCCACAACAUACAACAUAAUCAAAGGGACCUGUGAAGGCCUUCAUUAUCUUCAUAGAGGAAGAGGAGAGGGUGGGCAUAUUUACCAUCUAGACUUAAAACCGGAAAACAUAUUGUUGGACAAGGAUAUGGUUCCCAAAAUCACAGAUUUUGGUUUGUCGAGACUCUUUGGUGAAUCAAAGACCCACAAAACAAACACCCGUAUGGAAGGAACAUUGUAAGCUGAUGGUCUAGCAUGCAUGCAUAUAGUUCUUUAAUGCGCAUAAAUUCGUGUACUUGUAUUGCUAACGACUUGAAAAAUGCUUAUUGAUGUCAUAAAGAGGAUUCAUGGCACCAGAAUACAUAAAUGAGUGUGCGAUAUCACCAAAGAAUGACGUGUUCAGUCUAGGCGUUAUAAUUUUCUACCUAGUGGCUGGACGAAAGGGCUACGGCGAAUAUUGUGACUCACGGUCCUCUCCCCGGCAAGAAUUCAUUGAUAGAGUAAUUUGUUUUCAUAGAUAUUUUGUCUUGUAAUCUUGAAGCAUAAAUAUUAUAUGUGUUUGAGCUUACCCUACAUCGCAAUUUCUCAGGUACAAGAGUACUGGAAGCAAAGGAUGCGUGCAACGGCACACACCGGAUCGGACGAAACAAACCUANNN